AGCCGACCUUGAAAUACCACCCUUUAAUGUUUGAUGUUCUAACGUGGACCCGUAAUCCGGGUUGCGGACAGUGUCUGGUGGGUAGUUUGACUGGGGCGGUCUCCUCCUAAAGAGUAACGGAGGAGCACGAAGGUUGGCUAAUCCUGGUCGGACAUCAGGAGGUUAGUGCAAUGGCAUAAGCCAGCUUGACUGCGAGCGUGACGGCGCGAGCAGGUGCGAAAGCAGGUCAUAGUGAUCCGGUGGUUCUGAAUGGAAGGGCCAUCGCUCAACGGAUAAAAGGUACUCCGGGGAUAACAGGCUGAUACCGCCCAAGAGUUCAUAUCGACGGCGGUGUUUGGCACCUCGAUGUCGGCUCAUCACAUCCUGGGGCUGAAGUAGGUCCCAAGGGUAUGGCUGUUCGCCAUUUAAAGUGGUACGCGAGCUGGGUUUAGAACGUCGUGAGACAGUUCGGUCCCUAUCUGCCGUGGGCGCUGGAGAACUGAGGGGGGCUGCUCCUAGUACGAGAGGACCGGAGUGGACGCAUCACUGGUGUUCGGGUUGUCAUGCCAAUGGCACUGCCCGGUAGCUAAAUGCGGAAGAGAUAAGUGCUGAAAGCAUCUAAGCACGAAACUUGCCCCGAGAUGAGUUCUCCCUGAGACUUAGAGUCUCCUGAAGGAACGUUGAAGACGACGACGUUGAUAGGCCGGGUGUGUAAGCGCAGCGAUGCGUUGAGCUAACCGGUACUAAUGAACCGUGAGGCUUAACCUUACAACGCCGAAG
This 759-nucleotide ribosomal RNA is filed under the name Salmonella enterica subsp. enterica serovar Thompson. Its description in RNAcentral is "partial 23S ribosomal RNA". It matches the Rfam family "Bacterial large subunit ribosomal RNA", at positions 2184 to 2925 of the family's 2925-position model. Lineage: Bacteria; Pseudomonadati; Pseudomonadota; Gammaproteobacteria; Enterobacterales; Enterobacteriaceae. The record is from RNAcentral. RNAcentral also lists the same sequence under 1 other name.